This 1547-nucleotide ribosomal RNA is filed under the name Klebsiella pneumoniae. RNAcentral's name for it is "bacterial SSU rRNA". It matches the Rfam family "Bacterial small subunit ribosomal RNA". Lineage: Bacteria; Pseudomonadati; Pseudomonadota; Gammaproteobacteria; Enterobacterales; Enterobacteriaceae. The record is from RNAcentral.
AAAUUGAAGAGUUUGAUCAUGGCUCAGAUUGAACGCUGGCGGCAGGCCUAACACAUGCAAGUCGAGCGGUAGCACAGAGAGCUUGCUCUCGGGUGACGAGCGGCGGACGGGUGAGUAAUGUCUGGGAAACUGCCUGAUGGAGGGGGAUAACUACUGGAAACGGUAGCUAAUACCGCAUAACGUCGCAAGACCAAAGUGGGGGACCUUCGGGCCUCAUGCCAUCAGAUGUGCCCAGAUGGGAUUAGCUAGUAGGUGGGGUAACGGCUCACCUAGGCGACGAUCCCUAGCUGGUCUGAGAGGAUGACCAGCCACACUGGAACUGAGACACGGUCCAGACUCCUACGGGAGGCAGCAGUGGGGAAUAUUGCACAAUGGGCGCAAGCCUGAUGCAGCCAUGCCGCGUGUGUGAAGAAGGCCUUCGGGUUGUAAAGCACUUUCAGCGGGGAGGAAGGCGUUAAGGUUAAUAACCUUGGCGAUUGACGUUACCCGCAGAAGAAGCACCGGCUAACUCCGUGCCAGCAGCCGCGGUAAUACGGAGGGUGCAAGCGUUAAUCGGAAUUACUGGGCGUAAAGCGCACGCAGGCGGUCUGUCAAGUCGGAUGUGAAAUCCCCGGGCUCAACCUGGGAACUGCAUUCGAAACUGGCAGGCUAGAGUCUUGUAGAGGGGGGUAGAAUUCCAGGUGUAGCGGUGAAAUGCGUAGAGAUCUGGAGGAAUACCGGUGGCGAAGGCGGCCCCCUGGACAAAGACUGACGCUCAGGUGCGAAAGCGUGGGGAGCAAACAGGAUUAGAUACCCUGGUAGUCCACGCCGUAAACGAUGUCGAUUUGGAGGUUGUGCCCUUGAGGCGUGGCUUCCGGAGCUAACGCGUUAAAUCGACCGCCUGGGGAGUACGGCCGCAAGGUUAAAACUCAAAUGAAUUGACGGGGGCCCGCACAAGCGGUGGAGCAUGUGGUUUAAUUCGAUGCAACGCGAAGAACCUUACCUGGUCUUGACAUCCACAGAACUUUCCAGAGAUGGAUUGGUGCCUUCGGGAACUGUGAGACAGGUGCUGCAUGGCUGUCGUCAGCUCGUGUUGUGAAAUGUUGGGUUAAGUCCCGCAACGAGCGCAACCCUUAUCCUUUGUUGCCAGCGGUUCGGCCGGGAACUCAAAGGAGACUGCCAGUGAUAAACUGGAGGAAGGUGGGGAUGACGUCAAGUCAUCAUGGCCCUUACGACCGUGGCUACACGUGCUACAAUGGCAUAUACAAAGAGAAGCGACCUCGCGAGAGCAAGCGGACCUCAUAAAGUAUGUCGUAGUCCGGAUUGAGUCUGCAACUCGACUCCAUGAAGUCGGAAUCGCUAGUAAUCGUAGAUCAGAAUGCUACGGUGAAUACGUUCCCGGGCCUUGUACACACCGCCCGUCACACCAUGGGAGUGGGUUGCAAAAGAAGUAGGUAGCUUAACCUUCGGGAGGGCGCUUACCACUUUGUGAUUCAUGACUGGGGUGAAGUCGUAACAAGGUAACCGUAGGGGAACCUGCGGUUGGAUCACCUCCUUACCUUAAAGAA